Long non-coding RNA from Syngnathus acus (greater pipefish), 1526 nucleotides. RefSeq lists it as uncharacterized. The transcript is spliced from 2 exons. Lineage: Eukaryota; Metazoa; Chordata; Actinopteri; Syngnathiformes; Syngnathidae. The record is from RefSeq and is a predicted model, not a curated record.
UUUUUUGCCGUGAUUCUCAGCAUGGGUGUGUGUGAGUAAACCGUGCGUGCUGACGGAAAUUUCUAAUUGGAGUAUUGCCAAGGAACCUGCGUCACUCAGGUGUGUCCUGAACACACGGGACGUGAAAACCAGUGAGAUUAGGGAACAAUGAGGCAACCGAGUGGGCGUACAAAACCAACUAUGUACCUGACACACACACCUUGAGUUUGACCUAUUUUAUAAGAGCGCUACCCUCCAAUCUAAGCUCGCUUAAAACUCAAGCAGGAAUAAACCUUUCAGAAUAAAAUGCUUCAUGGCGUGAUGUCAUUGCACAAAUAUGCUUCAGCCAUAUGUAGCCUUACUGAUGCAAGGAAUGUCAAUAGCAUCAAGAAUUUAUAUAGAUUCCUUGAAUGAGUAAUUACAAUGUCAGUUUGGUGCGUGAGAAUCACCUCCCUUGUAAACCUGUCGACUCUUAAAUUCUCCUUCCGACUUGCUGGCAGAUUUUGAUUACGGCUCAAUCAUAUAAAACGAGUCGUUAACUAGAGAAAAAAAGGCUGUACUCUCACACACGCUGAGGGCUAAAAAAGCAAUGACGAGAAGCCAAGGACUGAAACCGAAGCACUGUUUUAGAUUUGAGUGUUUUGGAUUGAGCCACUGCUGAGAUGUCCUGCUGACUCAUGGGCAGAAAUGAUUACAUUUAUUCGAUACAUGUUAAGGGACUUUUACAUAUAUGGACCAGGUCCAGGAUUGAGCGUCUUAAAGAGAACUAAAAACAAUCACAUCUGAGCAAGAACAUGUUUUCAUGAAGAAACCUUCAAGUCAUUGUUGGGUGGCCAUCUGCCUCGGAGGGUUGAGUUCAGAACAUUACACAUGAUGGUAGUCCUCUGAUAGUGAUAAGUAGUACAUUUUAUUUACAAAACAUUUUUCACAGAGAUAGCUUGUUAACUGCUUCGCAUAUUGUAGUCGACAUAUUGUGCAUUAAAUCACAGCAUUUGAAAUUCUACAAGUAACGCAAGAAAAACACAAAUCAAAAUAAAUUUGAAUAAUUAUAAAUCGAAACAAUUGAGUCUGACUGGAAUGACUCCCGAAACAAAUGUCUUUACUAAUUUAAUAAUAAAAUAAUAAUAGUAAUAAGUUUUAAACCUAGACAUGUGCUUAAAUUCAAUUGAAGGAAAAUGACGUUUUUAUUUAUUUUGAUGGCAUUGAGAAGGACAUUCAUUUCAUGACAUUUUUGUGUAAAUUAUUUUUGUAAGAUGUGGAUCCACUAGCUUUGAACAAUUUAUUUUUUGAAUAGGAAAUAACCAUUAUAACAUCUUCGUCCAAGGAUUGUGAAGUAAGAAGGCAACGAUCGACAGCAAUUCGAAAGUAUGUGUGGAUUUCAUAUUCAUGAAUGCUUAUUUGUAUCUUAUCUUAAGUCUGUGAAUAAUUAUUUUUUGGGGGGUGUAUAACAGUUUUGUUGUAGCUUGAGUUAUUAAUAAAGUCUUAAAAAUGUGUGGGGGGGUUAUUGCACUGUACAAUACAUAAUUAUAAAAAUGUUUGGAAAUGUC